Chinchilla lanigera (long-tailed chinchilla) is the source of this 4327-nucleotide long non-coding RNA. RefSeq lists it as uncharacterized. NCBI's taxonomy places the organism in Eukaryota, Metazoa, Chordata, Mammalia, Rodentia, Chinchillidae. The transcript is spliced from 3 exons. The record is from RefSeq and is a predicted model, not a curated record.
GCGAGUUGCAAAAGAAAAGGCCGCUGUUUUUCUGACCUGAUAAGGCAAACAGUGCGUAAGGUAGUCUUUGCUUAAAAUAAAAGCAAUGAUCAUCGAUUUUCCGGGAGCAGUAGCUGCAAAGUAGCUGACUCGGGCGUGCAGAAGGGGCCCAGCCCAGAGCGCCGCCAGCGUCGGAUCCCGAGCAGGGGGACCUUGGACGACUCGCCGCGAAGCCGCGGGAAGAGGUCGGACGGAGAGCAGCCUUAGGGACGCGAUACCCAGUGUCACCACUGCUCACACUGCGUGGCACAGGGAGAUGCUGCACGGGAUGGCGGACCGUGCCCUGUGCCUGGGCGUGCAGCGGGGGUGCCCAUGAGGACGGAGUCCUCCACGUGACAGGGCGUCUCUCCGAAUGCACACCCGACACAAAGCAACCUUUGACUGUGUGUCGGGUAGAAACGUCCCUGAUGUUCUGAGAACUUAUAAAGCCUCAAACACAGUGGUACAAGUACUGAUUUUCCUGCACCUACCAGAAUUUCUUCCUCCCUCCCUCCCGCUGCGCUCUGGGGAAGAGCCGGUCCACCUUGCAGAACUGUGGGAAAGAUCACCCAAGCUGAGCUCGGUCUCCUGUAACGUCCUGGCCAGGGCUGCACGGUCCCUGAGCCGGGGAGAUCACCGGCUCAGUCGCGCCAUCUCCAUGGGCCACAGUCAUUCUGAGCACCCCAGCACGGAGGUGGAGAUCUGCACUGAACCAGGACAAAAUCCCCAGCAGACCCCUAGGGGAACAAAUCCCUUACUUCGCUGUGCUUCAGCAGAGCUGGAACAGACUAGAAGUUCUACAAAUACUGAAGGAAAUUAAAAGGAAAUCAUGGGAGUAAAAGAGAAUAUGCUGAGUUGGUCCCACACGUCACAGGUCCUAUCCCAUUCCUUCCCGAGCUCCGCACUCAGCUCAGAUGGUGAAGACCACCUGUGGCCUCAUGGUUUCCCGGCUGCUGAGUCAUUGCCUCAUGAAAAGUGUCAUCUAAAAUCCCUGCCGAGCCAGCCGCCUAGACAACCUUCCUCCUGGAAUCAAGGGCAUCUUCCGCCCUUGGCCGAGUCUCCAGAUGAGCUACGGAUGAUCAUGUCAGAGUGUACUCAGACCUCCUGGCUUGUGGGGCUGUCAGGGGUGAUUCAGCCCCGUGCAAAUCCUGAUAAUGGGAGAAUUAUGAAAAUAUAUCCACAGACAGGCAAGGCACACAGGCAGGAGAAUCUUUAACAUAGCACAGCCGUGUGGAUCUCGGUGAACACAAACCACCUGAUGGGUGGGUGCAGGCUCCAGGCUGAGUCAGGCAGGAGAUGUGCGAAACACUUCCUAGGGACCUGUUCCUGUGAUUCGCACAGCGAUCCUAUGCUACAGGACGUUGUCCACAUUUCACACAGGAGUGAACAAGCCCGAAGCACAAAGACACUUGGCCCAAGUGGCACAAAUCAGUGAGGACAAAGCCAGAGGUGCAGCCCAAGUCAUCAGCUAUGGUAGCCAGAGUACUUUAUGCGUGUGCAAGUGUGUGCACGUGCACACAUGCAUGCACACACACACACACACAUUUUACAUGAAUGGGAGAAUGGGAGGGAGCAUUCACCUGAAAAUCACCCAGAGGACAGCAAGGACAAAGGAUGCGGAAAGGGACUCACAAAAUACCAAGGGCUGGACAGAGCAGAAACAGCUUCCAAGGAAGGAAGAGUAAUGAAUCAGUCCUGAGCAAUCAAAGCCAAUGGUGCCUCCCCAAGGCCCCAGCCCCAAGGGUGAAAUACAAAAAGGAGCAGCUGAGUGGUCCAGAGAAAAAAAGGAUGCCAAGAAGGAAAUCUGAAACAGGGAAGGUUUCUCCAAGCACGGCUGUGCAUUCUGCUUGUUUGGUGUGACAAGAGUUCCCCAAAGAGCCAGACCUUAGAAUGUUUGAAAGCCCAAAACUCUACCCAUGGCUCCUGGUAAAGUUGGAAAUACAUAGUGGCUACAUGAGUAAUCUCAGCAGCACUGCUCUCAGCCUUCCCCUCUCAUUUGCUGCCUAUGGCUGUGGUCAGGUCUCUACUUAGAAGCUGUCUCACCCAGUUGCUAACUGCACGCUGCCCUCGCUCCACCCUCUUGUACCGCUGCCUGCUCUGACCUUCACUGGGCUGGAUCCUGUUGAAACCAUUUCUGAGGGCGUUUUUAGGGUUCUAGGAAAACACUUCUUUAAAAAGUCUCCCAGGAAAAUAAGCUUGAACUAAAUGUAACUCCGGCUUCUGUUUAGCUCCCUGUGUGGCUCUUUGGAGCUCAGAACAACUCAACACCAGAACCAUGAUCAUUUCUCUUGGCCCCCGCUUACUUCUUCAUUUUUAUUACACAGUUUCACACGUGCACCAGAGUAGGGGGGAAAGGAACGAUGACAUUUCAGCUACCCAUCACCUAGAUCCAGCAUUCAAAGGUUGCCAACUCAUUUUGGCCACUGUACUCAGGAAAAGAAGGAGGGAGGGAAAGAAAGAAAACUAAAAUGCAUUGCACAAAAUCCAGAGCAUGUCGCCGCUCACGCCCUCUUCCUUUCACUCCUGAACCCACACUGAAACAAUUCGAGCAGAAAUUAUGCAGUCUGCAUUGCCAUUAAGAUUUCAGAGAAAUCAUUAGGAGCUGCCCUAGGAAGGAACCUAUCUCACUGUAACUUUUUAUUUCGAAUGUGAUUCUAAAACAAACUGAUUACUUAUGCCAGGCUCACAUUUUACUCAUUGGGGAUUUUAACCACAUGUAGCAAAUUCCAGUAAGAAGCUUAAAAGUUUCCCAGCUCAAGAACUGCUGGUGGGGAGGCCAGGGGUGGAGGGAGGAGGGACAAAUAGCGCUGGGUGUCUGAAGACUCAAUCUGUGUGCGUUCUGCAUUUGGACAGCUUUGGAGUCGUGUUAGGAUGCACCGAUGCACACGGCUCCCCAGGACCGAAGCCACCGCUAGUGGCUCUUGCAUUGGGAAGAAACACUGGCCUAUCUGUCUGUUGUGAGCUUCUCGACACCUAGCCUGUGACGUCCCUCCCUCCCUCUUUCUCUCUCUCUCUCUACAAGUAAGACCUGAUGGGGAGAAAGGGAAUUUGUGUCACUAAUAUUGCUGGUCCCUUGUCAAAGUUUUGCUUUCUGUCAGCAGGUGAAGGUGAAAAGGACAACUCUGGGCUGUAGACACAAGUUGUAGCUCCAGAUCUAAGCAUGUCAUUGGUUAGCAGAGUUGCCUGUAGCCUCCCAUUGUGGGAUCUGGGAAGCUAAAGAGGUCUCCCCACACACUGCCCACGUCCACGGAGAGCAAACACAGGUUUGGCAAGACAUUGGUCAGGUUGAAAUCUUGGCCAGGAGCGUCUCUGCUUCCACAUGGAACCCUCCCAAGAGCAAAGGCAUAGAGCAGAUGUGCACACAGGCACACAGAAGAAGGCUGGGCACAUAGCUCCUGCACACACUCGCCCCACUAGCAGCUGGGGAGCUGUCUCUUGGGCGUGAAUGCCUGGCAGGCCACUCUUAGCAACUGCUUCGUCAUCUCCUCUCUCAGGCAAGCCAGACAGCCCGAGAUGAAGCAUCUCCUCCAGGACCCCAUAGGUGGUCUGCAUUGCCUGGCACACACUUCAAUUACUUUACCAUCCACAAAGGUGCCAGGGAAGACAUCCCACUCAGGAGAGCUAGUAGCUUGAGUGUUGUCUCUACAUGAUCAAGGAUGUGUGCAGGUCCUUUAAGCACCAAGCCUGAUUCUUAUCAGCUCUGACAUACGGAGAAACAGCAGGUGAUUUCUAACAGUCUAAAGUCAGUGAGACAUGUAAUGAGCAGUUAACACACAGUAGGGCUUCGCAUUUGCCCUCAUGAAUUAAAGGCUAUGCUCUGUGACUGUAGGAUGACACUUGGCUUCUUCUCUGAACUAGAGGGACUAACACCUAUGUUACAACGCUCGCAAGGAUUGAAUACCUUAGCCAUACACCAAGCUCCUGACUUAAGGAAUGUCAUAGUUCUCUCCUUCAGAAAACACUGUUCAUUCCUUCAAACAUCAAGGAAUCUGGGAAGUUUGCCCUUCUGGAAACAACUAGGCAAUUUAGUCCAAAAUAGUUCCCACCAUAGCUUAUUACUCAUUGGAGCAUGAGAACUAUAAAAUUUGGGUCAGUACCACCAGAAAAUUCUCAUGAGUCAGAAGUAUUGCCUAGUUUACAUCUUACAUGAAUAUUUUAGAGACUUUUCCCCCAUAGUUGUUCCUAGUCAUUUAGAAAUCAAAGAAAUCAGUUAAACCAAGUUGAAAAAAUGAAGUCUUUGCUCUGUUUACGUUGCUAAUUAAAUUAAAGUUUCUAGCAGAUCAAGGACGAAUAGCUGAGUUCAACCAAA